AGUGAACGCUGGCGGUAGGCCUAACACAUGCAAGUCGAACGGCAGCACAGUAAGAGCUUGCUCUUACGGGUGGCGAGUGGCGGACGGGUGAGGAAUACAUCGGAAUCUACUUUUUCGUGGGGGAUAACGUGGGGAAACUUACGCUAAUACCGCAUACGACCUACGGGUGAAAGCAGGGGAUCUUCGGACCUUGCGCGAUUGAAUGAGCCGAUGUCGGAUUAGCUAGUUGGCGGGGUAAAGGCCCACCAAGGCGACGAUCCGUAGCUGGUCUGAGAGGAUGAUACGCCAAAUGGGAACUGAGGAACGGUCCAGACUCCAAGGGGAGGCAGCGGUGGGGAAUAUUGGAAAAGGGGGGAAAGCUUGAACCAGCCAAACCGGGGGGGGGAAGAAGGCCUGCGGGUUGUAAAGCCCUUUUGUUGGGAAAAAAAAGCAGCGGGUUAAUACCCCGCUGUUCUGACGGUACCAAAAGAAUAAGCACCGGCUAACUUGGG
RNAcentral lists this ribosomal RNA (491 nucleotides) under uncultured bacterium. RNAcentral's name for it is "partial 16S ribosomal RNA". It matches the Rfam family "Bacterial small subunit ribosomal RNA", at positions 29 to 506 of the family's 1533-position model. The record is from RNAcentral.